This 976-nucleotide long non-coding RNA is filed under the name Mus musculus (house mouse). RNAcentral describes it as "long non-coding RNA chr11:86567576-86568552". The record is from RNAcentral. Lineage: Eukaryota; Metazoa; Chordata; Mammalia; Rodentia; Muridae.
CACAACCAUCAGUAAUGGGCUGUGAUGCCCUCUUCUGGGGUGUGUAAAGAAAGUAACAGUGUAUUCAUAUAAAACAAACAAAUACAUCAAUCUUUAAAAAGAAAAAAAAAGAAAGAAAGAACACCUUCUGUUGAGAUGGGGUCUCAAACUGUUGGGCUCAAGAUCCUGACUCGGCCUCCAGGGAGACUCUGCACCUUGGAGUCUGGUUUAAAGGAACUCGGCAGACAUCGGCUGUAAGAGUCCAAGGAGAGGAAUGUUCUGUUGCACUCCAGGUUUCUAAAUCUUCCCUCUUUACAAUGAAAAAGAUUUACUAAACAUGUUCUAAACUUCCACAGUUCAAAUGAAAGCAACAUAGACUUUUGAGUGUGUGUGCACUUUAAAAAAAGAUUUCUUUUUAUUUGUGUGUGUGUGUGGUGUGUGUGUGUGUAUGUGUGUAUAUAUAUAUAUGUGUGUGUGUGUGUGUGUGUGUGUGUAUGCGUGUCUGUUCAUGUGUGCAUGUGGACAUGUAUGAAGCUACCCAUGGAGGCCAGAGGGAACAUAGAUGCUUUGGAGCUGGAGAUGCAAGUGGGUUCUGACCCUCUACAAGUAGAGUAAGCAGGCCACCCCUGAGCCAUCUCUCGGGCUCCAGAGUGGUUUUUUGUUUGUUUCUGUUUUUUAGACAGGGUCUCUGUAGUCCAAGAUGGCCUGGAACUUGCUGUGAUACUCCAGCCUCAGCAUCAGCUUCCAAAGUGGUAAGCACUGUACUUGGUUUUUUGUUUUUUUCUUUGCUUUUUUGAAACAGGGUUUCUCUGUGUAGCCCUGGCUGUCCUGGAACUUACUCUGUAGACCAGGCUGGCCUCGACUCAGAAAUUUGCCUGCCUCUGCCUCCCAAAUGCUUGGAUUAAAGGUGCGCUCCACCAUGCCCGGCAAGCACUGUACUUGUUAAGCAAUGAAGUGAACCACUCUACUUGGGUCUGAGAAUUACAAUUCUGUAAAU